RNAcentral lists this long non-coding RNA (848 nucleotides) under Pan troglodytes (chimpanzee). RNAcentral describes it as "long non-coding RNA NONPTRT012277". Lineage: Eukaryota; Metazoa; Chordata; Mammalia; Primates; Hominidae. The record is from RNAcentral.
UUUUGAUUUCUUAUUAAGGUCUUCUUCCUAAAAAUAGUACAAAAAAAUUCCAGUCACCUGAGAAACUAAAUUAUUUUGUGCUCAUGAAUUGAGGGUGUUUAUUUUUUGGCUGAAAUUGUUCCAGCAUUUUCUUUUUGAGGUAAAAUAGACACCUAAAAUUCACCAUGUUUACUAUUUUUAAGGGUACCGUUCAGUGGUAAUACAUUUACAUUCUUUUUGUCCCCUGCAUCCUCCCCUCCCUCUACCCUUCCCUGCCGCUGGUAAUCACCAUGCUCUUUUCUACCUUCAUGAGAUCUGCUUUUGGAGCUCCCACAGUUCUACUGUUUUCUAAAGGAUUCUGCCAUUGGAAACUGCUUGGUUCGAGGAGAGCAUUCCCACCACAGUCAGGCCUCUCAGGAGAGUAGCGUCCAUCACAGCUCCAAUUAUAUAGAGACAUGCACACCUGGUUCUGUUCCGGGUGAGGUUUUUCCUCCUGACCGCACCCCUCCUGACCGCAGCCCUCCUGAACACAUCCCUCCUGACCACACCCCUCCCGACCACACCCGUCCUCACUGCAUCCCUACUAACUGCAUCCCUCCUGACCACACCCGUCCUCACUGCAUCCCUACUAACUGCAUCGCUCCCGACUGCAUCCCUACUAACCGCAUCCCCUCCUGACCGCAUCCCUUGUGACCGCAGCCCUACUAACCACAUCCCCUCCUGACCACAUCCCUCGUGACCGCAUCCCUACUAACCACACCCCUACUAACCGCAUCCCUCCUGACCGCAUCCCCUACUAAGCACAUCCCCUCCUGACCGCAUCCGAAUUAACUGCAUCCCCUCCUGAUCACGUCCCUCCUGACCGCACC